AUUGAACGCUGGCGGCAGGCCUAACACAUGCAAGUCGAGCGGAUGAAGGGAGCUUGCUCCUGGAUUCAGCGGCGGACGGGUGAGUAAUGCCUAGGAAUCUGCCUGGUAGUGGGGGAUAACGUCCGGAAACGGGCGCUAAUACCGCAUACGUCCUGAGGGAGAAAGUGGGGGAUCUUCGGACCUCACGCUAUCAGAUGAGCCUAGGUCGGAUUAGCUAGUUGGUGGGGUAAAGGCCUACCAAGGCGACGAUCCGUAACUGGUCUGAGAGGAUGAUCAGUCACACUGGAACUGAGACACGGUCCAGACUCCUACGGGAGGCAGCAGUGGGAAAUAUUGGACAAAGGGCGAAAGCCUGAUCCAGCCAUGCCGCGUGUGUGAAGAAGGUCUUCGGAUUGUAAAGCACUUUAAGUUGGGAGGAAGGGCAGUAAGUUAAUACCUUGCUGUUUUGACGUUACCAACAGAAUAAGCACCGGCUAACUUCGUG
Molecule: ribosomal RNA, 484 nt
Filed under: uncultured bacterium
Lineage: Bacteria
Description: partial 16S ribosomal RNA
Rfam family: Bacterial small subunit ribosomal RNA
Source: RNAcentral